RNAcentral lists this ribosomal RNA (371 nucleotides) under uncultured bacterium. RNAcentral's name for it is "bacterial SSU rRNA". It matches the Rfam family "Bacterial small subunit ribosomal RNA", at positions 46 to 392 of the family's 1533-position model. The record is from RNAcentral.
GGGCCGCGGGAAUUCGAUUCAGGCCUAACACAUGCAAGUCGAACGAUGAAGCCGGAGCUUGCUCCGGUGGAUUAGUGGCGAACGGGUGAGUAACACGUGAGCAAUCUGCCCUUGACUCUGGGAUAACUGCGGGAAACUGUAGCUAAUACCGGAUACGACACCUUGGGGCAUCCCAGGGUGUGGAAAGAAUUUCGGUCAAGGAUGAGCUCGCGGCCUAUCAGCUAGUUGGUGAGGUAAUGGCUCACCAAGGCGACGACGGGUAGCCGGCCUGAGAGGGUGACCGGCCACACUGGAACUGAGACACGGUCCAGACUCCUACGGGAGGCAGCAGUGGGGAAUAUUGCACAAUAGGGGAAAGCCUGAUGCAGCAA